This 1536-nucleotide long non-coding RNA is filed under the name Homo sapiens (human). Lineage: Eukaryota; Metazoa; Chordata; Mammalia; Primates; Hominidae. The record is from RNAcentral.
CUCCAACACCGUUCCUUUCCUAGUCUUCACAGUCUCCAAAAGAGGAAUGCCAUCCACCUAGUUCCCUUACCAAAAUCAUAGAAGCAUCCUGAAUCCUUUAUAUCUCUUACCCCUUGGAUCCAAGUCCAUCAGCAAUUCCUGCCAGCUUCACCUUCAAGCUACCUCCCUGAUGAAGUAAACUCUCAGCUCCAUUCCUAACAUCCUACUCUGAAUUACCAUAAUCUCCUGUUAUUUUCUCUGAUUAUGGUUUCUAUAGCAGAUUGCCAAAAUAUUGUUCUACACUGUUUACACUGUGAUUGAAUGUGAUUCAUCUAAGAGGAGAAAGAAGGACAGGCUUGGGCAUCAGAACACCAGCAGGCAACUUGGUAUAAGAUGUGAAAAGAAUGCAGGAUUUGGAGUGCUUGGCUCUGGUUUGUAUUGGUUCAUAGCUUCCGUAGAGAAAGUUACUUGUUAGACCUCAGUCUUUCUGUUGUUACAAUUAGGAAAAUGAGAAUCAUCACUUCUUUAAUUCUUAAAAGUUUUUGUAAGGACAUAAGACUAUAAUCUGUGGUACACACUGUAUGUGUAUUUGGUUUCUUAUUUUUACUUGUCAGAGUGACACAAAAUGAGAAUAUUUUGUAUGGCUCUUUUUGUUCCUCAAAUUACAUCCAAGUAAAUAUGGAAUUGGUUUUAUGAAGGCUGCCACUCUUCUCCCAAAACUCUGGUUAUUCAUACCUUGCUCUGUGAUUUCCAGAGCUGUCUUUUCUUUUCCUUUUUUUUCUUUUUUUUUUUUUUUUUGAGACGGAGUCUCGCUCUGUCGCUCAGGCUGGAGUGCAGUGAUGCGAUCUCGGCUCACUGCAAGCUCCGCCUCCGGGAUUCACGCCAUUCUCCUGCCUCAGCCUCCCGAGUGGCUGGGACUACAGGCGCCUUCCAUUGCGCCUGGCUAAUUUUUUUGUAUUUUUAGUAGAGACGAGGUUUCACCGUAUUAGCCAGGAUGGUCUCGAUCUCCUGACCUCGUGAUCCCCCCGCCUCAGCCUCCCAAAGUGCUGGGAUUACAGGCGUGAGCCACCGCGCCCGGCCCCAGAGCUAUCUUUUAUUUUUCCACUUCUGCUAACUUUACUCUCCUCAUUCUCUUCUUUGGUCUCUAUUUCUGUUUGAUGUAGCCAUACAGUAGCGUCACCACACGCAAGUCUGGCUGCUCCACUCAGAGGCUGAAAACACGAGAAGCGGGGUGUGAUGAACAGAGAGCUACUUUAUUCAAAUGCCAAGAUCUGGGAAUGGCCAAGCUCAUGCCCUUAAAAGACGAUUUCAAACUUUCGACUGUGGAGAGGUGUUUAUAAAGGGGAACUUAGAGUGGGAGGCAUGCAGGAGUGGUGCUGGGUGCUAGGUGUCCGUGCCUUGGUCUGGUGGCUAUCUUGAGUCAUGGUCCACCUGGAACGCAGUCUAAUGUUAUCUUGACGAUGGCUGGGUUGUAGACUAACAACCUGGAGGUCAUUUCUGGAAUUUUGCAGCUUGGUCUCCAUGCCUGGUUCAUCUCAAUAUUAGUCCCUGGAAUUU